UGUUUGAAGCACUUGAAAGGAUGCCCAUGUACAAGAAAUUCGUGGAAGAGGUAAUGGCUGAAAAGAAACCAACCACUGAAGAAAGAAAUUCAUGACAAUGUUUAAAAGGAUUAAGGGUCAUAUGGCCUUGUUUGAAGCACUUGAAAGGAUGCCCAUGUACAAGAAAUUCGUGGAAGAGGUAAUGGCUGAAAAGAAACCAACCACUGAAGAAGAG
This 214-nucleotide long non-coding RNA is filed under the name Lathyrus oleraceus (garden pea). Its description in RNAcentral is "Pisum sativum (pea) long non-coding RNA (PSAT_LNC020927)". The record is from RNAcentral. Lineage: Eukaryota; Viridiplantae; Streptophyta; Magnoliopsida; Fabales; Fabaceae.